This 468-nucleotide ribosomal RNA is filed under the name uncultured bacterium. Its description in RNAcentral is "partial 16S ribosomal RNA". It matches the Rfam family "Bacterial small subunit ribosomal RNA", at positions 28 to 507 of the family's 1533-position model. The record is from RNAcentral.
GACGAACGCUGGCGGCGUGCUUAACACAUGCAAGUCGAACGGAAAGGCCCUGCUCUUGUGGGGUGCUCGAGUGGCGAACGGGUGAGUAACACGUGAGUAACCUGCCCUUGACUUUGGGAUAACUUCAGGAAACUGGGGCUAAUACCGGAUAGGAGCUCCUGCUGCAUGGUGGGGGUUGGAAAGUUUCGGCGGUUGGGGAUGGACUGGCGGCUUAUCAGCUUGUUGGUGGGGUAGUGGCUUACCAAGGCUUUGACGGGUAGCCGGCCUGAGAGGGUGACCGGCCACAUUGGGACUGAGAUACGGCCCAGACUCCUACGGGAGGCAGCAGUGGGGAAUAUUGCACAAUGGGCGGAAGCCUGAUGCAGCAACGCCGCGUGCGGGAUGACGGCCUUCGGGUUGUAAACCGCUUUCGCCUGUGACGAAGCGUGAGUGACGGUAAUGGGUAAAGAAGCACCGGCUAACUACGUG